RNAcentral lists this long non-coding RNA (764 nucleotides) under Marmota monax (woodchuck). The record is from RNAcentral. Lineage: Eukaryota; Metazoa; Chordata; Mammalia; Rodentia; Sciuridae.
AGAAAACUUGAGCAGAAAAGAAAAAAAAACCACCCCAGCUCAGCUGGUCUCUCCACUUCAGUAGGAGCCUGCAGCUCCUCUGCCUGUUGGAAUCCCAUCCCCAGUCCUAGUAAUACUUCACACUUCCUCAUGCAUGAUGUUUUCUGGUCCAAUACAACUUACUUCAUCCCAAUGUUAAAGAGAUAAGGGGACUGUCAUCAGACCUAUCACCAAAGAGCUAUAGCAAGCCUGGAGUAUUCAAUGACUGGCUGAUGUGUGAAGAGUCACAGUCCAAGGUCCAGGCUGCAUGGCCGUGCUCAUCAGGCCACACCUUCCAGAAGAAUGAACUUGAGCUCCUGACUCAGACAAGUGUGGAUGCCGGUCAAGUUCUGCACAGCCUGAUCCUGGAUUUAGAGGACACAAGCAGUGGCCACUCAGUCACAGUGUGGGAGGUUCGUCUUGUUAUUUCCAGUCUGAGAAUGCCAGGUGAACAGACUUGAGAGAUGGUUAGGUGCUAGAAUGAACAGGAUUUGGUGACAUGACACUCAGGAAACAGAAAAGUCAAGAUGCCCUGGAUUUCUGGUCUGUGGGUCUGCAUGGAUGGCCACACAAUCACUGGCCAGUUGGCUUUGGAAGUCAUCCUUAGUUAUGGAGACUAACAAACCAGAUUUCAGGAGUCAUUCAUCAUCCAUUUAUUUUGUGAACAAACAUUGCAUUAGCUUUCCAUCACUGUAACAAAAUACCCGAGGUGAUCAACUUAUAAAGAGAAAAGGGUUGUUUUGGCU